GGGGCCCCGCCGGUGAAGCCCCUUCGCCUGCAGAGGGAUGCGCUCGGAGGCGGUGCCGCAGCCCGGCGGCCUGGAGAGGUUCGCCAGUCCCGGCAAGGGCCGGGGGCUGAGGGCUCUGAGGCGCUACGCUGUGGGAGAGCUGCUCUUCAGCUGCCCGGCCUACACCGCCGUGCUGACCGUCAGCGAGCGCGGCAGCCACUGCGACGGCUGCUUCGCCAGGAAAGAAGGACUGUCCAAGUGUGGAAGAUGUAAGCAGGCUUUUUACUGCAAUGUGGAAUGUCAGAAGGAAGACUGGCCAAUGCAUAAGCUAGAAUGUUCUGCCAUGUGCGCUUUUGGGCAGAACUGGAAUCCCUCGGAGACGGUGAGGCUAACAGCGAGGAUUCUUGCCAAACAGAAAAUUCACCCUGAUAGAACGCAGUCAGAGAAGCUGCUUGCUGUAAAAGAGUUUGAAUCACACCUUGACAAACUAGACAAUGAAAAGAGAGAGCUGAUUCAGAACGACAUUGCUGCUCUUCAUCACUUUUAUUCAAAGCACAUGGAGUACCCUGACAAUGCUGCUCUUGUAGUUCUCUUUGCACAAGUUAACUGCAAUGGCUUCACGAUUGAAGAUGAAGAACUCUCUCAUUUGGGAUCAGCCAUAUUUCCUGAUGUUGCACUGAUGAACCAUAGCUGCUGCCCAAAUGUGAUUGUGACUUACAAAGGGACGCUGGCUGAAGUCAGAGCUGUUAAAGAGAUUGAGCCUGGAGAGGAGGUUUUUACCAGCUAUAUUGACCUGUUGUAUCCCACAGAAGACAGAAAUGACAGGUUAAGAGACUCCUAUUUCUUCACUUGUGAUUGCAGGGAGUGCACUAUGAAGGAAAAGGAUAAAGAGAAACUGAAAAUCCGCAAGCUGAAUGAUCCUCCAUCAGCAGAGGUGGUACGAGACAUGAUCAAAUAUGCCAGGAACGUGAUUGAGGAAUUCAGACGAGCCAAACACUACAAAUCUCCCAGUGAAUUACUGGAGAUCUGUGAGCUCAGCCUGGAUAAGAUGGGUACAGUGUUUGAAGACAGUAAUGUCUACAUGUUGCAUAUGAUGUACCAGGCCAUGGGUGUCUGUCUCUACGUGCAGGACUGGGAAGGUGCACUGCGUUAUGGGCAAAAAAUUAUCAGACCAUACAGUAAGCAUUAUCCCUCCUACUCGCUGAAUGUUGCCUCCAUGUGGCUGAAAUUAGGGAGACUGUACAUGGCACUGGAGAACAGACCAGCUGGAGAUAAAGCCCUGAAGAAGGCAAUUGCCAUCAUGGAAGUAGCGCACGGGAAAGAUCAUCCAUACAUUUCAGAGAUCAAAAAGGAAUUAGAGGACCACUGAGCCUUUGAACCUAUGCAAUCCUUCAAACCUUUAUUUAAACAGCCUUGUUAUGGAAACCUUCAGGAGCUCUUUGAAAAGCGUGACUUAGCUGAGAGAAAGGAGAAAAGGGGCCGAUGAAUUCUGUGCGUCGUGUAGGAAAGCCACCACCUUUCCCUCAGCAGUUCAGCUGCAGGCCCAUCACUGCUCCUAGCAGGAGACUGCUGGAAAGUUGGCUGCUGUGAGCACUGUAUGGUUUCAAACUGCUGAAUUUUCCCCACAGAUGCCUGCUGCCCAGGUGACAUUCAACUCUGUCUGUCAGCUUGAAAUUGCACUUUCACAUUGAGAUACUGCGUAGAUGUCACCUCUUCAGACUUAAGAAUUGACUACCAGCUUACAGAAGGCUGCAGUUCCCAUACAGUCAAAAAGUGAAGGUAAAUGGGAUGAAAUGCUUUAAUCAUUCUCCCUCUAUCUUUCCAUUUAUUGAAGGAGGAAACCAGCUGCCUAAUUUCUAGGCAGCAACACUUAGGGCAGGGGGAAGUCCAUUUCACUUCCAAAUUUUGUUUCUAGCCUGAGAGAAUUUCAGGUUCUUUUAUUUAGUGAAGCUUAUGCUCAAGCUCUGCACUCACAAAAUUGCUUGCCUAAAAAAGCCUUAAUCUUAGGUGGUGGUAGUUUUUCUUUUCUUUUUUCCUCCACUUCUUCUAAUCCAUUCUCCCAGAUGGACUCAAUGUCAUGAGUUACAAGUGUUUGGCAUUUAUCACCACAGCUCCUAAUGCCAUCAGUGACUUAAAAACACUUCCCUCAGCAUUCAAAUUAUUUGCUAGUUUCCCAUUUAAAUUUUAAACAGUUUCACAGCACAGCCCCUGGAGGACAUUUUGAGAACUGAUUCACAGUUCACUUCAGUCUAAUAGUCAGUUAUUGUAAAUUCAUAUUCUCUUGAGCAAAGAUUGCAUGAUUUGUUCUGUGGCACAGCCUUAUUACAUCAGCAGUUUUCAUAUUCCCUUGUUUUGCCAUGUUACCAAUAGUGCAGUACAGUUAAUACGCAACAUUCUAAAGAGAUGCAAAUUGUUUUUUGAUUCAAGUAAGUACACUUUUUUGUUGACAUCUCCUCUCAGUGGAGACUUAACAGAAAGUGAAAAAGGGCUAGAUUUCUAUAGCAUUUAUUCAUUCAGCUACAGUGGAGUAUAUUGCAGAGCAAAGUUUAUUUCCGACAUUAAUAAUUUAAUGCUCGUGC
RNA transcript from Numida meleagris (helmeted guineafowl), 2558 nucleotides. It is a transcript of the gene named SET and MYND domain containing 2, with no coding region annotated. The transcript is spliced from 15 exons. The record is from RefSeq and is a predicted model, not a curated record. NCBI's taxonomy places the organism in Eukaryota, Metazoa, Chordata, Aves, Galliformes, Numididae.